AACGAACGCUGGCGGCAGGCCUAACACAUGCAAGUCGAGCGAGAACUUCGGUUCUAGCGGCGGACGGGUUAGUAACGCGUGGGAAUAUGCCCUUCACUACGGAAUAGUCCCGGGAAACUGGGUUUAAUACCGUAUACGCCCUUCGGGGGAAAGAUUUAUCGGUGAAGGAUUAGCCCGCGUUGGAUUAGGUAGUUGGUGGGGUAAUGGCCUACCAAGCCGACGAUCCAUAGCUGGUUUGAGAGGAUGAUCAGCAACACUGGGACUGAGACACGGCCCAGACUCCUACGGGAGGCAGCAGUGGGGAAUCUUAGACAAUGGGGGCAACCCUGAUCUAGCCAUGCCGCGUGAGUGAUGAAGGCCUUAGGGUUGUAAAGCACUUUCAGCGAGGAGGAAGGCGUUGUGGUUAAUAACCGCAGCGAUUGACGUUACUCGCAGAAGAAGCACCGGCUAACUCCGUGCCAGCAGCCGCCGUAAAAC
RNAcentral lists this ribosomal RNA (477 nucleotides) under uncultured bacterium. Its description in RNAcentral is "bacterial SSU rRNA". It matches the Rfam family "Bacterial small subunit ribosomal RNA", at positions 29 to 526 of the family's 1533-position model. The record is from RNAcentral.